GUCUUGGUGUGCAAUAUUUAUAGAAAUAAUUGGAAUUAAAACUAAAACAGAAUCUUUUGCUUUUUUGAUAUGAGUGUUUCUCUUUAUAAACUUCUCUUGUUUGGUGACAUCUCAAUGGCAGGAGCUCCAGUGUGGCGGAAACCAGCGACAGUGGCUCAUACUGCAGAAGGUGGUGCCCCCACCCAUGUCUCACUGCUGUGCAGCAAGCUAUGAAACAGGCCUAUUGAAUCACACAACACCAGCAGUG
Molecule: long non-coding RNA, 247 nt
Organism: Scleropages formosus (Asian bonytongue)
Lineage: Eukaryota; Metazoa; Chordata; Actinopteri; Osteoglossiformes; Osteoglossidae
Exons: 3
Source: RefSeq, a predicted model, not a curated record